RNAcentral lists this ribosomal RNA (237 nucleotides) under uncultured Vagococcus sp. RNAcentral describes it as "partial 16S ribosomal RNA". It matches the Rfam family "Bacterial small subunit ribosomal RNA", at positions 1 to 243 of the family's 1533-position model. Lineage: Bacteria; Bacillati; Bacillota; Bacilli; Lactobacillales; Enterococcaceae. The record is from RNAcentral.
CGCCCUUAGAGUUUGAUCAUGGCUCAGGACGAACGCUGGCGGCGUGCCUAAUACAUGCAAGUCGAACGCAGCUUGCUUUGGUAAGAUGAGUGGCGAACGGGUGAGUAACACGUGGGUAACCUGCCUAUCAGAGGGGGAUAACACUUGGAAACAGGUGCUAAUACCGCAUAGAUUUCUUUCGCAUGAAAAGAGAGGAAAGACGUACGUGUCACUGAUAGAUGGACCCGCGGUGCAUUA